GUGGGGGAUAUUGCACAAUGGGGGAAACCCUGAUGCAGCGACGCCGCGUGAGGGAAGACGGUUUUCGGAUUGUAAACCUCUGUCUUCGGGGACGAAUAAAUGACGGUACCCGAGGAGGAAGCCACGGCUAACUACGUGCCAGCAGCCGCGGUAAUACGUAGGUGGCAAGCGUUGUCCGGAUUUACUGGGUGUAAAGGGAGCGUAGGCGGGUAUGCAAGUUGAAUGUGAAAUCUAUCGGCUCAACCGGUAGCUGCGUUCAAAACUGUGUAUCUUGAGUGAAGUAGAGGUUGGCGGAAUUCCUAGUGUAGCGGUGAAAUGCGUAGAUAUUAGGAGGAACACCAGUGGCGAAGGCGGCCAACUGGGCUUUUACUGACGCUGAGGCUCGAAAGCGUGGGGAGCAAACAGGAUUAGAAACCCUAGUAGUCC
RNAcentral lists this ribosomal RNA (426 nucleotides) under uncultured bacterium. RNAcentral describes it as "bacterial SSU rRNA". It matches the Rfam family "Bacterial small subunit ribosomal RNA", at positions 354 to 796 of the family's 1533-position model. The record is from RNAcentral.